GCUGGGUGUGGUGGCGCACACCUGUAAUCCCAGCUACUUGGGAGGCUGAAGCAGGAGAAUUGCUUGAACCUGGGAGGCAGAAGUUGCAGUGAGCUGAGAUCAUGCCACUGCACUCCAGCCUGGGUGACAGAGCAAGACUCUGUCUCAA
Homo sapiens (human) is the source of this 148-nucleotide non-coding RNA. It matches the Rfam family "Metazoan signal recognition particle RNA". Rfam says of the family: The signal recognition particle (SRP) is a universally conserved ribonucleoprotein. It is involved in the co-translational targeting of proteins to membranes. Lineage: Eukaryota; Metazoa; Chordata; Mammalia; Primates; Hominidae. The record is from Rfam.